This is a long non-coding RNA of Prosopis cineraria, 851 nucleotides long. RefSeq lists it as uncharacterized. The record is from RefSeq and is a predicted model, not a curated record. The transcript has 2 exons. NCBI's taxonomy places the organism in Eukaryota, Viridiplantae, Streptophyta, Magnoliopsida, Fabales, Fabaceae.
UGUAGGGGCGCUAUUGUCAUUUAGAAAAUGACGACGUUCUCUAUACAAGGGGAUUUGCAAUUAGGGUUACACAUGUUGUGACUGCUCCUGGUGCGUGGAGACAUGGCGGCCACUUUCCUCCUGCCUUCGGUUGGACGGAAAUAGCAUCCGCUCCAGUACUUGAUGGAUCGGUUCAUGUGGAAUGCACGGGUUUUUUCAUCUCACCAAUGCAACCCAUGAGUUGAGGCUGAGAAUGGGCCCACAAGGAAACGUGGCUAAACUCAGUUGAGAGUUCAGACUUGAGAAUCUGUGACAGAAAGCAAUGAAGCAAAGGCUGGACGGAAACUAGUUCCCUGAAUGCAAUGAAAGUAGAUGCAAGUGUGAAUGCUUCUACGCAAUGUGGGAGAGGGAAUGCAUCUUAUGGGACAUGCUCAUUUCAGUUGAGCCUAAAAUUAAUUGGACCAGUGCAGACAGUUUAACGUUUCAGUGAAUACACAAUGUUACUUCCAUCUAAUCAAAGUCACCCCUGAUCUUGAUCUUAUUCUACUCAACCAUGCUUUGGGCAGUUGUUUGUUACUCCCACAAUCUACGCUCCCUGGCGGACUAGUUUUGACGUUGUCCUCGGAGGCUUGCCGCUUUUGUCACCAAAACAUAAUUGAGACAGAAAUGUGUUGCAUAAACAAAACUUUCCCUUUUCCCUCUUAGCUAGCUUCUGAUUUAAAGUCUUUCUCAAGGCAUUUUCCAGUAUUCGUAAGAAUCUUUUAUCAUUUGAAGGGUAAGUAUAAAAUAAAAAAUAAUAUUUUAACAUAAUUUAUUUUUGUGUACUUGUAAUAUGUUACUUCAAUCGAAAUUUAAAUUUAAAUAAAAAUUUA